Molecule: ribosomal RNA, 555 nt
Filed under: Fusarium oxysporum
Lineage: Eukaryota; Fungi; Ascomycota; Sordariomycetes; Hypocreales; Nectriaceae
Description: eukaryotic LSU rRNA
Rfam family: 5.8S ribosomal RNA (bases 198-351)
Source: RNAcentral
AAAGUCCCGUAACAAGGGCUCCGUUGGUGAACCAGCGGAGGGAUCAUUACCGCGUUUACAACUCCCAAACCCCUGUGAACAUACCACUUGUUGCCUCGGCGGAUCAGCCCGCUCCCGGUAAAACGGGACGGCCCGCCAGAGGACCCCUAAACUCUGUUUCUAUAUGUAACUUCUGAGUAAAACCAUAAAUAAAUCAAAACUUUCAACAACGGAUCUCUUGGUUCUGGCAUCGAUGAAGAACGCAGCAAAAUGCGAUAAGUAAUGUGAAUUGCAGAAUUCAGUGAAUCAUCGAAUCUUUGAACGCACAUUGCGCCCGCCAGUAUUCUGGCGGGCAUGCCUGUUCGAGCGUCAUUUCAACCCUCAAGCACAGCUUGGUGUUGGGACUCGCGUUAAUUCGCGUUCCCCAAAUUGAUUGGCGGUCACGUCGAGCUUCCAUAGCGUAGUAGUAAAACCCUCGUUACUGGUAAUCGUCGCGGCCACGCCGUUAAACCCCAACUUCUGAAUGNUGACCUCGGAUCANGNANGAAUACCCGCUGAACUUAAGCAUAUCAAUAA